ACUGCCAUUUGGAACUACGGAUAAAUAAAAAUUUGGAAAUUCUGUUCCAUAGAUGGAAACAUUUUUGUUCAUUUCGAUAAAAUAUUUAAUUUCUCGCAGACUAAAUUUUGGACUAAAAUUGUUUGUGAAAAUAGACUAAAACAUCGUUAAAAAGUUGUGAGAUGAACAAACAUAUAGCUUUCCAAUUUUCAAUAUAUUUUUUGGAUAAUAGAAAUCGCAACGUCUGUAACUGUGUCGAUGGAACGAUCACGACGAAACCAUUUGAAAUCAAUUGAAACUGAUGAAAUCAAAGUCGACGAACGCAGACUCGAACAGGGAAAAGUGAUUAAAGAUACUCGACGAAUACGACAGAAGGUGAAGAUAGGGUGGAUAUGGAAAGGGGGUAGACGCGCGACUGUUCGAAAGAAGCGGCGGACGAAGAGGAUAGGCGGAGCAGAAAGAGGAGGACAGAAUUAGCGCGAGUGUACGCGUAAAUUCGAGUGAGCGAUAGAGGUCCGGUUUGUGGUACACGCCGUGCAAUUACCGGGCGGCGAGUGUCGAGGAACCCUCUUUUAUAUUAAUAGUCGAGA
This is a long non-coding RNA of Frieseomelitta varia, 569 nucleotides long. RefSeq lists it as uncharacterized. The record is from RefSeq and is a predicted model, not a curated record. Lineage: Eukaryota; Metazoa; Arthropoda; Insecta; Hymenoptera; Apidae. The transcript has 4 exons.